UGAACGCUGGCGGCGUGCUUAACACAUGCAAGUCGUACGAGAAAUCUUCAGCUUGCUGAAGAGAGUAAAGUGGCGCACGGGUGAGUAACGCGUGGGUAAUCUAUCCUUGAAUCGGGGAUAACGUUGCGAAAGCGACGCUAAUACCGGAUAACAUCGUAAGAACUUCGGUUCUAACGAUCAAAGAUGACCUCUACCUGUAAGUUGUUGUUUGAGGAGGAGCCCGCGUACCAUUAGCUUGUUGGUAGGGUAACGGCCUACCAAGGCCACGAUGGUUAGCUGGUCUGAGAGGAUGAUCAGCCACACUGGAACUGACACACGGUCCAGACUCCUACGGGAGGCAGCAGUGAGGAAUUUUGCGCAAUGGGGGAAACCCUGACGCAGCAACGCCGCGUGAGUGAUGAAGGCUUUAGGGUCGUAAAGCUCUGUCAAGUGGGAAGAACCUAUCCGGAAAUAAUACGUUCGGAUACUGACGGUACCACUGAAGGAAGCACCGGCUAACUCC
Molecule: ribosomal RNA, 502 nt
Filed under: uncultured bacterium
Lineage: Bacteria
Description: bacterial SSU rRNA
Rfam family: Bacterial small subunit ribosomal RNA
Source: RNAcentral